This 266-nucleotide ribosomal RNA is filed under the name uncultured bacterium. Its description in RNAcentral is "partial 16S ribosomal RNA". It matches the Rfam family "Bacterial small subunit ribosomal RNA", at positions 793 to 1055 of the family's 1533-position model. The record is from RNAcentral.
GUCCACGCCGUAAACGAUGAGUGCUAGAUGCUGUGGGUAUUGACCCCCGCGGUGUCGCAGCCAACGCGUUAAGCACUCCGCCUGGGGAGUACGGCCGCAAGGCUAAAACUCAAAGGAAUUGACGGGGGCCCCGCACAAGCGGUGGAGCAUGUGGUUCAAUUCGACGCAACGCGCAGAACCUUACCUGGGUUAAAUCCACUCGAAUCCUACAGAGAUGUAGGAGUGCCCUUCGGGGAACGAGUGAGACGGUGCUGCAUGGCUGUCGU